GACGAACGCUGGUGGCGUGCCUAAUACAUGCAAGUCGGACGCUGCUUAAGAAGAAACUUCGGUUUUUUCUUAAGCGGAGUGGCGGACGGGUGAGUAACACGUGGGGAACCUAUCUAUCAGCGGGGGAUAACACUUGGAAACAGGUGCUAAUACCGCAUAUGGCUUUUUUUCACCUGAAAGAAAGCUCAAAGGCGCUUUACAGCGUCACUGAUGGCUGGUCCCGCGGUGCAUUAGCCAGUUGGUGAGGUAACGGCUCACCAAAGCAACGAUGCAUAGCCGACCUGAGAGGGUGAUCGGCCACACUGGGACUGAGACACGGCCCAGACUCCUACGGGAGGCAGCAGUAGGGAAUCUUCGGCAAUGGACGCAAGUCUGACCGAGCAACGCCGCGUGAGUGAAGAAGGUUUUCGGAUCGUAAAGCUCUGUUGUCAGCAAAGAACAGGAGAAAGAGGAAAUGCUUUUUCUAUGACGGUAGCUGACCAGAAAGCCACGGCUAACUACGUGCCAGCAGCCGCGGUAAUACGUAGGUGGCAAGCGUUGUCCGGAUUUAUUGGGCGUAAAGCGAGCGCAGGCGGUGAUUUAAGUCUGAUGUGAAAGCCCCCAGCUCAACUGGGGAGGGUCAUUGGAAACUGGAUCACUUGAGCGCAGAAGAGGAGAGUGGAAUUCCAUGUGUAGCGGUGAAAUGCGUAGAUAUAUGGAGGAACACCAGUGGCGAAGGCGGCUCUCUGGUCUGUAACUGACGCUGAGACUCGAAAGCGUGGGUAGCAAACAGGAUUAGAUACCCUGGUAGUCCACGCCGUAAACGAUGAGUGCUAAGUGUUGGAGGGUUUCCGCCCUUCAGUGCUGCAGUUAACGCAUUAAGCACUCCGCCUGGGGAGUACGACCGCAAGGUUGAAACUCAAAGGAAUUGACGGGGGCCCGCACAAG
RNAcentral lists this ribosomal RNA (927 nucleotides) under uncultured bacterium. Its description in RNAcentral is "bacterial SSU rRNA". It matches the Rfam family "Bacterial small subunit ribosomal RNA", at positions 28 to 929 of the family's 1533-position model. The record is from RNAcentral.